GUGAGGAAUAUUGGUCAAUGGGCGGGAGCCUGAACCAGCCAAGUCGCGUGAAGGAAGAAGGAUCUAUGGUUCGUAAACUUCUUUUGCAGGGGAAUAAAGUGCAGGACGUGUCCUGUUUUGUAUGUACCCUGAGAAUAAGGAUCGGCUAACUCCGUGCCAGCAGCCGCGGUAAUACGGAGGAUCCGAGCGUUAUCCGGAUUUAUUGGGUUUAAAGGGUGCGUAGGUGGUUUGAUAAGUCAGCGGUGAAAGUUUGCAGCUUAACUGUAAAAAUGCCGUUGAAACUGUCUGACUUGAGUGUAAAUGAGGUAGGCGGAAUGCGUGGUGUAGCGGUGAAAUGCAUAGAUAUCACGCAGAACUCCGAUUGCGAAGGCAGCUUACUAAGCUACAACCGACACUGAAGCACGAAAGCGUGGUGAUCAAACAGGAUUCUCAACCCUGGUAGGCC
This 445-nucleotide ribosomal RNA is filed under the name uncultured bacterium. RNAcentral's name for it is "partial 16S ribosomal RNA". It matches the Rfam family "Bacterial small subunit ribosomal RNA", at positions 354 to 796 of the family's 1533-position model. The record is from RNAcentral.